AUACCUUUAAUGCAAACUUAAAGUAAAUCGUGAAACUCAACCAAUUUCGAUAAUCUCAUCCUAUCGUCCAUAAUAAUCCAAAUAGACACAUUGUAGUAUUCAAAACGGAUCAUAUUCAACGCAUAAAAUUAUACAAAUAAUGUUAAGAACGUGAGGAAUACAUGUACGAAAAAUAUGUGUUUUAUAUAAAGAAGACUCGAAUUUUUUGUAAACACUCGAGUACCUGCUCUGGAGAGAUUAUGGCACAUUGAUUGGUAAACUUACGGUGGCUAUGCCAGAUUUGGUUGUGGCACAGGGCAAAAUAGCGGUUCCACCAAUUUGUGACGUCACGAUUGUCC
Molecule: long non-coding RNA, 338 nt
Organism: Daktulosphaira vitifoliae (grape phylloxera)
Lineage: Eukaryota; Metazoa; Arthropoda; Insecta; Hemiptera; Phylloxeridae
Exons: 3
Source: RefSeq, a predicted model, not a curated record